Non-coding RNA from Taeniopygia guttata (zebra finch), 2929 nucleotides. Lineage: Eukaryota; Metazoa; Chordata; Aves; Passeriformes; Estrildidae. The record is from RefSeq and is a predicted model, not a curated record.
GUUUCUUUGGCAGUGUCUUAGCUGGUUGUUGUGAGCAAUAGUCAAGGAAGCAAUCAGCAAGUAUACUGCCCUAGAAGUGCUGCACAUUGUUGGGCUUUGCCUCGGCCCUGCCCGGGGCUGGGACGCUGCCCAGGGGUCUCUGAGGAGCUGCAGCUGAUGGCAGGAGUGCCACGGGACGCCUGAUGCCACUGCAGAGAGGGGCGAGAAGAGCAGGAGGAGAUGAACAAACACUCUGCUGCAAGUUUGGUUCUUUCUCUGUCCUUCCCCAGUGCCUCUGGAGGGCUCUGUUGCACCUUUCCCUGCAGCAGAGCUCUCCUCCUGCUGCCUUGCACUUCUUCUGGUCCAAAUCCUUGUGGGAAACAGCUGGAGUGAGGCUCAGGGCAGCUGAUGAGUGUUGUGACUUCUUUCCAGCUCGGGGCUCUCAUUUUCAGCUUUUCUGUCUCACCUGUGCUAAAACCUGUGGGCAGCCCUUUCCCUCGCCCAGGGUGUUUGAUUGGCACUAAAAGCUACACCCCAAAAAUCCUACCAUGGUGCAGUCCUUACCUUGCUAUUAUAGAUAAUGAGAAUAUUAGAAAAAUACCAGUGAAAGUUCCACGAAGAUCACUGCAGGGGCAUUCUUUGCCUUCUGUGUAAAUGCCCUUUCCAGUGCCCCCUCCCUCCGUGCUGGGCUGGGCUGGGCUCAUGAUCAGGUCUUAAAUGCAACUUUUGAUGUUUGUUGGUGGCAUGCUCUGUUCCAUUAUGGAAUGUACAAUAUUAAUAUCUUUAUUUUUCUCCACACAGCUGCAGCAUGAAGGAAUAUCCCAUAUUAAUCCCCUAAUUUAAAUUUGAAAUUAAUAACUAUCACAACACUGGGAGCAUCCUUUAAUCCAUUGAUUGCUGCUGGCUUGGUUCCAGCAGUGCCACUAAUUACAUUCUGCCUGCAAAAAAAAAAAUCCUCAUUGCUGGUGGCUUUUCUUCUGAGAGCUGCUGGCUGGAGUUCUUGUGCUGUGGCUGCAGCUUGGGACACUUUUUAAUGCUAAUGGCACUGUUGGAAAUGACUGAGCAUCUCUGCUUGCUGUGUGUGGGGUACAGACUCUGCUCUGGGGAUGGGACAGGACAGACUCAAUCCUCACCCAGCAGCUUUUUCCAGGGUCCUGUUUGUUCCUCCAUCCCCACCCUGAGCCUGCCAACAGCUGAAGGUUUGUUACUCCAGGAGCUGCCUCUUGUGCUGGUCUGGUGAAAGGGCAUUUCCAGAGGACUGGGAAUAAAUUAAAAUAGCUUUAAUUCAACUUUUCAGUUAGUGUAUCCAGAGGAUGUGGAACGAACUAAAAGUAGCUUUAAUUCCCUCAUUUUCAGUUCCUGUGAUGGCAUGAGGGUGCCUUGGGUGGCAGAUCUGGCUCCUGGAGGAGAGUGGGAACUGCUGGAAUUGAGGGUGGAUGGAACUGCCUGCCUGCCUUGCUGCUCCUUUUCCUUGGUUGGACACGCAGGGAAUGUAUUUCCUUGUGGGUUUUUUACUUGAGUCUUCUGAAUCUCCUUGAAGAAAGGUGUCUGGAGGGGGCAGCUGCUGAGAGAUGCCUCUGAAGGCUCUGAGUGAUCAUUCUGGAAUUUUCUGAGCAGCCCUGGAUGUCUCUCAGCAGUGCUGUAUCAAAAGCUGUCAGUAUUGGUGUCUGUCCAAAAUGGAAGAGUAGGGGUUAAUGAAGUCAAGGAUUAGGUCCUUAGUCUGUGCCAGGAGUGCAAGAAAUGUACUUUUUUUUGUCACAUGCUAGAAAAAGCCACAAAGGACAAGCCUGAGUGUUUCUCCUCUCUCAGGAGCCUUCCUUAACCCUGCUCCCCUGGCUUUGCCUUCAGCCCACGCAGCGACCCCGAGGAUCAGGUGCUGACUUAGGAAACGCUCCCGUUCUCCUGGAAAUGAAGAGCCCAGUGCUGCUGCAGAUUCCUUGGGGCUGGAGGAGGAACAGCUGCUCCCCUGCCCUGCAUGAGGAGGUGACAACAUCAGGUGACAGCAGUGCCACAGAGAUGCUGAACGUCCUGCAGGUGGAGGAGCUGAGAAAGUGGAAGGUGAUGGGAAUCUUUAGUAAGAAUUAUUUGCCUUUUGUCGCUCAGUUUUGAAUCACAAUCUCUUUGAGUAUGGCCUGCUGUUGAGCAGUGACUUCUGUGUGCAAACUAUUUUAGAAAGCAGGGAGAGACCCGGCAGAAAAUCCUCUGCCUGUCCUAUUUCUGAUUGCUAAGGCAAAGAUCCACUUCUCUGGUUUUUAUUUCAACGAUUUAUGAUGACCUGACGAGCCGUAUUUUUUUUUAGAACUGAGGAAAAAGGAAUAUCUGAAUCACAGCCACAAGUCAGUGGAAAUGCAAGUUCUGGAUUUAUCUUGGUUCUCUAUCUGGCAAGACUUAAUUAAGCUGUGUUGUGGAGCCACAUCCAUCACCCAAAAUAAAAGCAGUGCUCACUAGGCAGGGUGCUUGUCUGGAUGUCUGUGGUAGGUGGGGCUUGUGCUAUAAAAGUGGGGAAAAGGGAAACCAGGGAACAAGGAGGAGGCCAAGAAUGUGUAAGAGCAACAACUGGGAAUGCAGCCUCGACAAAGCUUUGUCUAGUGAGUUUUUUUGAGGGGUCGGAUGGUAUCAGAUUAGUGUGAGGCAAAUGCAAGUUGCUGCAGCUUCCGUUUCCUAUAAGGAACAUGCAGGAGGCAUCACACUCCAAAAUAAAUUCCUAAAAAAGUAAAGGCUGUUUGACUGAAGUUUAACCGAGUGGUAAUUAAGGUACCUUGGAAGAAGAUGUCAUUUCCAAAGGCAGCAGCUUGUGUAUAAAUCUGUGUGUAAAUCCCGGUGGCUCUGGCUCAGCAGGGAGGAGAGCUGGAGGUGUCCGUGGGGGAGGCAGGAGACAACAGCAACGCGGGGGUUCAUUCCUGCCUGGCUCCCGGCGGCCCGGGCGGGUUUUUUGAGUGAAAGAUAAAAA